UUUAUGGAGAGUUUGAUCCUGGCUCAGGAUGAACGCUGGCGGCGUGCCUAAUACAUGCAAGUCGAGCGAACGGACGAGAAGCUUGCUUCUCUGAUGUUAGCGGCGGACGGGUGAGUAACACGUGGAUAACCUACCUAUAAGACUGGGAUAACUUCGGGAAACCGGAGCUAAUACCGGAUAAUAUUUUGAACCGCAUGGUUCAAAAGUGAAAGACGGUCUUGCUGUCACUUAUAGAUGGAUCCGCGCUGCAUUAGCUAGUUGGUAAGGUAACGGCUUACCAAGGCAACGAUGCAUAGCCGACCUGAGAGGGUGAUCGGCCACACUGGAACUGAGACACGGUCCAGACUCCUACGGGAGGCAGCAGUAGGGAAUCUUCCGCAAUGGGCGAAAGCCUGACGGAGCAACGCCGCGUGAGUGAUGAAGGUCUUCGGAUCGUAAAACUCUGUUAUUAGGGAAGAACAUAUGUGUAAGUAACUGUGCACAUCUUGACGGUACCUAAUCAGAAAGCCACGGCUAACUACGUGCCAGCAGCCGCGGUAAUACGUAGGUGGCAAGCGUUAUCCGGAAUUAUUGGGCGUAAAGCGCGCGUAGGCGGUUUUUUAAGUCUGAUGUGAAAGCCCACGGCUCAACCGUGGAGGGUCAUUGGAAACUGGAAAACUUGAGUGCAGAAGAGGAAAGUGGAAUUCCAUGUGUAGCGGUGAAAUGCGCAGAGAUAUGGAGGAACACCAGUGGCGAAGGCGACUU
This 744-nucleotide ribosomal RNA is filed under the name Staphylococcus aureus. RNAcentral describes it as "bacterial SSU rRNA". It matches the Rfam family "Bacterial small subunit ribosomal RNA", at positions 1 to 727 of the family's 1533-position model. Lineage: Bacteria; Bacillati; Bacillota; Bacilli; Caryophanales; Staphylococcaceae. The record is from RNAcentral.